RNAcentral lists this ribosomal RNA (301 nucleotides) under uncultured bacterium. Its description in RNAcentral is "partial 16S ribosomal RNA". It matches the Rfam family "Bacterial small subunit ribosomal RNA", at positions 509 to 809 of the family's 1533-position model. The record is from RNAcentral.
CAGUCGCCACGGGAAAACGGAGGGUGCAAGCGUUAUCCGGAUUUAUUGGGUUUAAAGGGUCCGUAGGCGGACUUAUAAGUCAGUGGUGAAAGCCUGUCGCUUAACGAUAGAACUGCCAUUGAUACUGUAAGUCUUGAGUAUAUUUGAGGUAGCUGGAAUAAGUAGUGUAGCGGUGAAAUGCAUAGAUAUUACUUAGAACACCAAUUGCGAAGGCAGGUUACCAAGAUAUAACUGACGCUGAGGGACGAAAGCGUGGGUAGCGAACAGGAUUAGAUACCCGCGUAGUCCCUGUCUCUUAUAA